GUCGAACGGUAACAGGAAGCAGCUUGCUGCUUCGCUGACGAGUGGCGGACGGGUGAGUAAUGUCUGGGAAACUGCCUGAUGGAGGGGGAUAACUACUGGAAACGGUAGCUAAUACCGCAUAACGUCGCAAGACCAAAGAGGGGGACCUUCGGGCCUCUUGCCAUCGGAUGUGCCCAGAUGGGAUUAGCUAGUAGGUGGGGUAACGGCUCACCUAGGCGACGAUCCCUAGCUGGUCUGAGAGGAUGACCAGCCACACUGGAACUGAGACACGGUCCAGACUCCUACGGGAGGCAGCAGUGGGGAAUAUUGCACAAUGGGCGCAAGCCUGAUGCAGCCAUGCCGCGUGUAUGAAGAAGGCCUUCGGGUUGUAAAGUACUUUCAGCGGGGAGGAAGGCGACAGGGUUAAUAACCCUGUCGAUUGACGUUACCCGCAGAAGAAGCACCGGCUAACUCCGUGCCAGCAGCCGCGGUAAUACGGAGGGUGCAAGCGUAAUCGGAAUUACUGGGCGUAAAGCGCACGCAGGCGGUCUGUCAAGUCGGAUGUGAAAUCCCCGGGCUCAACCUGGGAACUGCAUUCGAAACUGGCAGGUAGAGUCUUGUAGAGGGGGGUAGAAUUCCAGGUAGCGGUGAAAUGCGUAGAGAUUGGAGGAAUACCGGUGGCGAAGGCGGCCCUGGACAAAGACUGACGCUCAGGUG
This 696-nucleotide ribosomal RNA is filed under the name uncultured Enterobacterales bacterium. RNAcentral describes it as "bacterial SSU rRNA". It matches the Rfam family "Bacterial small subunit ribosomal RNA", at positions 61 to 753 of the family's 1533-position model. Lineage: Bacteria; Pseudomonadati; Pseudomonadota; Gammaproteobacteria; Enterobacterales. The record is from RNAcentral.